GGCUCGAGCAAUCGUUCUGCCUCAGCCUCCCAAAGUGCUGGGAUUACAGGUGUGAGCUACCACACCUGGUCCCACCCCCAUUUUAGAGAGGAGAAAGCUGAGAUUUCCAGAGAUUGGCUGAUUUGCCCAAGACCCAAGGCUAGUAAGCAGCAGAACCAAGAUAUCUGUGUGGAGCCAAAUCAGCUUCCUACCAUGCCUCACCACUGGCUAAACCCCUUAUUCCCAUCUCCUGGCCCUUGCCCUAGGAGCAUUUCAUAGCAACUUCUCCUCUAAUGUUUUUCAUCCAGCAGGAUUUUUCAUUCCAAGUGGCCAGUCUCAAAGGGGAGGCUGACCUUAUUCUCUUGUAAAUGUAGCUCUUUUUGAUCACUCGCUCCUCCUUCCCUGGGAAAUAGGAAAUGCUGAAAAGAUCUCUUUCUCCACAAGACAUCCCUCCACCAAAUCCCCUCUCCUUUGCUUACCCAGACAGUUGUGUCCAUCAUGUGCCAGGUGGAAUCCAUCAUAGCAGGUACACCGGUAAUUGCCAGGGAUGUUGACACAGUCAUGCACACAACCUGCAUUAUCCUCUCGCUCGCACUCAUCCACGUCUGUAGGCAAAGAGAAGCUGAGACAGAUGAACCCACCUGUGAACCCACUGUCCACCCCCCAGACUCAGCCUUAUUGUUGUGUUUACAUAGUAAUGUUCAUAGCCUAUAAGCCAUUUAGCAUUUUUCUGUUUUCAUUUAAACCUAAGUCAUAAACAUUUUCAGGUCUCCAGUCAUUCUAAUUACCACUGUAUGUGGUUGCAGAAUAUUAUUUUUCUAUUCUUAUAACUCUUUUCUCUAUUGUUACAGAUUUAGACUUAUUUCAUUUAUUUUACAAUCAUAGAUAAUGCAUCAAAGAACACCUUCUCCCAUUUAUCAUUUUGUUUCUUUGAAUAAGUUCUCAAGAGUAAAAUUUCUGGAUCAAAGGAAAUACCUUUUAAGAUUCCUGCCAACCAUCAUACCAGUUGAUUCUAAGUGCUGGGAGCUUCUGUCUACACUUACUCUCCACCUCGCUCGGGCUCCGUAGUCAUGGUGUCUACCUGCUGGCCCAUCCUGGGAAGUCAUCUCAAAGUGAAAGAAUGGAGAAGAGAGGGCAUGGAAGACUAGUUCAUAGGUAAGGGCAAGAGGGUCCUCAUAGAUGCUAAGGUGCUCUGUGGAGAAUCCGUUUGUGCAACUGAUGAACAGAAAACAAUACAAAGAAGUAUGCUAUCACAGAA
This is a non-coding RNA of Macaca mulatta (Rhesus monkey), 1237 nucleotides long. Lineage: Eukaryota; Metazoa; Chordata; Mammalia; Primates; Cercopithecidae. The record is from RefSeq and is a predicted model, not a curated record.